This is a long non-coding RNA of Felis catus (domestic cat), 5830 nucleotides long. RefSeq lists it as uncharacterized. NCBI's taxonomy places the organism in Eukaryota, Metazoa, Chordata, Mammalia, Carnivora, Felidae. The record is from RefSeq and is a predicted model, not a curated record. The transcript has 2 exons.
GAACUCCUUUCUGCCUUCUUGCCUUUGAAGGUGCUUGGCUCACUUCCCUCUCCUUCCCUGAAAGAACGUGUCCUUGUCAGAGAUGAGGAAAAGAGGUCUCAGCUUCAUUUGGUAUUCUCUUCCUUCUCGCCAAAGCACCUAAGUGCCUUCCACACUCCCAGAACGUCAGGGAACAUCAGCAAGGCGGGAGAAGAGGGCCCCCAAACCCGCGCCCCACGGUGCGGGAAGGGCUGGCUCACUCCGCUGACUUCCAUUAAACAUUUGACGCAUCGUAGAACUGCCGAAAGCCAUCCAUCACGGCCACCCCCCGCCGCCUGCCUUCCUGACCUACUCCCAGAGAGGGGGCCUCGGCCCCUGUUCGCCGGCACUCGGGAAGCAGAGGGCAGGAGAGGGGACAGCAUUGGCCAUGCCCUGCGCCCAGGGGCUGCCUCCUUCCCCUGAACAAGGGUCUGAGAAAGAGCUGCAGGGUUGGCUGAGUCCUAAUAAUCACAAGACUACCACUUAUUGAAUGCCUGGUGUGUUCCGGGCAGACCUAAACACCUUACGUGUCUUAUCUCAUUGAACCCUGUAACUACGACAGGUAGUUAUCAUUGCCAUUUGAUAGAUGCAGAGCCCGGCGUUCAGGAAAGUUUGGUCACUGGCCGACAGUCACCCUGAAGGUGCUAGAGCCACACUGAGCUCAGGUGUGUGAGACCAGGACUCCCCUCAUCCCUUCUCCGUUCUGGGAUGGGGGGGGGGAGGAGAGGUGCUCAGCAGGGAGGUGGAGGUGGAGCCUGAGGGUCCCAGUGCACUUGGUGGUCACAGUUCCCAGGGGAGGAUGGCCCUGGCCAGGGCAGGUCUGGGGGCUCCAGGACAGAAGGGGUCACAGGACAGGUGUCCACUCCCUCUAACCAGUUACUCCAGCCAGUCGCUCCCCGUAACCAGUUACUCCAGCCAGAACCUGGCUCCUUCUGGCAUGUCCCACCCCCUCAGUGUCCAGUCUCUUAGCUCUCCCUGCGAACUGUUCUGCAAUCCCUAAUCCAUCCCCCUUUCCUGUCACAGCCUGCUCACAGGGGACUGCUCUAGCUCCUGAAUGUCUUGCCGGUGUCCUGUUUCCUGUCCCCACUGUAGCCAAAGGGACUGUUCAGAAGCCCGCAUCUGCUUGCUCACUCCUCUGCUUAACUUGGGGUAAGGCCCACAUGCCCUCGUCUGGCCUGCCUUCCAGGGCUCCUCCCCUCUCCAGGCCCCUCUUGCCCCUCACCCCUGCCUGGUGCCUCCUUGCUCGAGCUGGUGCGUCUGCUCCCGCUUUGCUCUCAGCAGGGACACCAUCUCAUACCUCACCUGGCUAACUCCGGCUGAUCACUCAGACCCCAACUUAGAUGUGAGUUCUUCCAGGGAGGCUUCCCUGGUAUGCCAGGCUGGGCUUAGGGGACCCUUUUAUGUGCGUCCCUCCAUUAUGGCACAAACCGCACUGUCCCCGGUUGCUUCCCUGCUUGUCACCCUCUACUGACCGUCAGCUCCAGGGAGGCAGUGAGUGUGUCCGCCUGACCCCCGUUCUUCCAGGGUUUAGCACGGGGCCUGUUCUGGAACAGGCCCUGCAUACAGGAAUGAAUGAUGUGAUGAAUGAUUGAAUGAUGCCUAUUAAGGCUAAGACGAGGCCCGGAAGGUAUGGCAUGGAUCAGGGGUUCAGAUCCAGGCAGCAUCCCUACAGGAGGAAGCAGUGUGGUUUUUGAAGUUUGAACACCUAGAUUUAAAACCUGACCCUACUGCUCACGAGCUAUGUGUCCUUGGGCUUGGCCUCUCCAAGCCUCAGUCUGUUCACACGCAACACAGGGGUAAUAGUACCUGCUUUGCUGAGAACUUGUGGAGACAGGCCUUGGGGAUAAUGCUUGUGCAGCACUGGCCCCGUGGUGGGCCCCAAAGAGGAUAGUUAGGGACUGAGCAGAGAGCUUAGGUAUCCCCCACUGGGCACAAGGCCAGGGCCAGGCUGGAAGCCUCUCUGACACCGGGAGGUGGGGCUGACGGGCCUGGGCUCUGCAGUCAGGAGGCCUGAGGCCUGGAUCCACGGGAGAGGAAAAGAGGGAGACACAAAGCGUGCGUUUCGCCACCCUGCCGCAAGGCUGGCCUGCUGAGGCUGGGCUCUCACCAGUUAGCAGACACUGAGAUUUACCAGUGUGGUGAAGCAGAGGCCCAGGGAGGGAGCUGUCUCACCCAGAGGGUUUGGAAUACUGGAGUGCGGUAGAAGGGAGGUGGGGCGUGGGGAGGGGAGCAAACGACCAUUUAGUAGUUAUCACUACUGUGAGGCAGGCACUUUGAAUCUUACUUAAUAUGUCAGCCAGUCAAGUCAAGUCAAGUCAAGUCAAGUCAAGUCAAGAAAAAUCUUACUUUAAAGUCAGCCAGGCGCCCCCAAUUCUGGGUACGUGAUGGUGCAUAUGGUGUGUGAAAUGGGUAUAAAAUGGUACCUUCUCAACCACUGCAGUGAGCCUAGGCGACACGUUGCACAGGAAAUACCCAGAGCCCCUAAAUGCAAGUUUACCGUGGAACGUUUAGAAAGGCUUGUUGGUAGAUAUCCCCAUCUCCAGAUGAGAACAUUAGGUCCAGAGAGGUGAAGCCAGAGCCUAGGGCCACGUGGCCACUGUGGACCAGAGGGACAAAUGACCUGGUCCAGGCCGUAAGCCAGGGAGUUUGGUCGGCAGAUCCACCGGGGUACCUCACAUGGUGGGGAGUAUUUUUCUCAUCCUACUCAUGUUGCACUUCUUAAUUUCAAGUGGGAAAUUCCACAUUGGGCGCCUCAUCAAUCAUUUUUGUGAGCUCAGCUCUGUGGAAAGCAUGGAAAACAUUUAUAUUUGCAGCUCAAACUGUCGAAAAUGUAAAACAAUUUAAAUAAUAUUAACAUUUUAACAGCCUCCACUCACGGCUCUGUGAAAUUAACCAUUAUCUCUUGGAGUGUUUGUUAAAAUUCAGCAGCGGGUAAGUGGUGAGGUCCUGUGUGCGGCAGCGUGGUUCCCGGAGCAUGGUCACAGACACCUCUCACCUGGGUCGGGUGCUGGAGGCAGAGAGAUGAAAGUGACAUACAUUCUACCCUUCUGUGGCGGAGGAGGUGAUCGGAAAAACGUACACUAGAGUAGGGCAUGUGCUAUACACAUGAGAAGGGAGUGCUGGUGUCCUGGGAGCAUUGAAGAGGGAAUCAGGAGCACUUCCUGGAGGAGGCGGCCUCUGUGCACCAGGCAGUCACUGAACAAGGGAACAGGUCAUCCCCAAGGCCUCGCCUUAACCUUUGAGAGUCAAAGAGGGGCUGCAGUCUAUUCUCGGCACUGAGGAGGAAGGGGCUCCAGUGUGGUGGUGAUUCUGUCUGGUUCUUUCUGAGCCCUGCACACUGAUCUGGGAGAGGGAAGGGAGGAUGACUGGGGUAAAUACUUUCUAAGCAGCUGGGUGGCUAGGGGUGAGGAGCCUAGAAAAGCCAAGACUGAGGGGAAGCAUGAUAUUAUUUUCAAAUAAUGGGAAUGAGGGAUGGGUUCUUUUGACAACUUCAGUAGGAACCUCUGGGCUUUGUAGACAGGUGUUAGGACUCUGAACUUGGUAUCUCCUUAUCUAAGAAUGAAUGGUGAGCUUCCUGUCCUUGGCGGAUGAGCAGGUGGAGGGUGAAGUGCCUGGGACUUGUAAAAGGGAUUCUUGCAUGGGACAUUUGUCCAACCCUGCUGUGGGACAGGCCUGGCUACAUACCGUCUCCUUGAAAGAGAGCCAGACCUGCUUGUUGUCCUUGAGGGGUGUAAUGGGCUGAAUUGUGUCUCCCCAAGUUCAUAUGUGGAAGCCCUAACCCCCAAAGUGACUGUAUUUGGAUGGGGCCUUUAAGAUGGUAAUUAAGGUUAAAUGAGGCUAUAAACCCGGGGCCCUAAUCCGAUAGGACGUUAUGACUGGUGUCUUUAUAAAAAGAGGCACAGACACCAGAGACCUCUCCCUCCCUGAGAGCACUCAGAGGAGAGGCCACGUGAGAAGCAGGAAUGUGGACACCUGCAAGCCGGGAAGAAAGCUCUCACCAGAAACCAGCCCUGACUGAACCUUGAUCUUGGACUUCUAGCCUUCAGAACUGUGAGAAAAUAAAUUCCUCUUAGUGAAGCCACUCCGGUGGUGGUACUUUGUGAAGUCAGCCCGAGUGGACUAAUACGGGGGCUCACAGUUUGGUGCCAGAGAUGCUAAGGUUGCUAAUUAUAAUGCAGCACAACACGGGACAGAGGGUGUAUGCACAGAGAAGAGUCACCCGGCUCUGCCAGGUGGGCAUCAGAGGAGGCUCCCUGGAGGAGGCAGGGGUGCUGGAGGUAGAGGCAGGAGGACAAGAAGGAGCUGGUUCUAAGGAUGGGGGAGAGGAAGUGGGAAGGGGUAUGCCGGGUGGAGGGGACAGAAUGUGCACAGACACAGAAGUGUUAAAAGAACGGUGGGUUUGGAGGCACUGAGAGGAAUCUCGUGGAACUAGAGUGCAGGUAGGGAGGGAAUGUGGGCGACGGAAGAGGUGGGGGCAGGCGGGGCCCACCCGCCAGCGAAGGCCCUUCUGUUGCCUUUCAGGGAAGGCCAUUUAGAAUUCUGUGCUCUCCAGACCCCCAGGGACUCCAUGCUUAGCGACUAACUUGCUGUAUGACCUUAGGCAAGUCAUUUAACCCCUCCACACAGCAAUUUUCUUAUUUGUAAUCGGAGAAGGAUCCCUGCCCUGCCCACCUCCCGGAUACUUUGUGGGCUCAAAAGCUAAUGCCUGUGAAAGCACUUUGGCAAAAGGCCCACAAUAGCGCCAUAGAGAUGGAAGGUGUUAUUAUUAUGUAACCGCACUGACUCCCAUCUGAGAAGCGCGGAGUCAAUUGGAGUCUUGAGGGAUGUCAGGGAAUUGGCUGCUCUCUGAAGCUUGUCAUAGAGACCCGUCUUUUCAUUGUACUCCUUUCAUAUCACUGUUGGCUCGAUGAAAGAAGGGGAAAGAAUCUUUGAUAUGUCUAAAUAUUCCGCUCCCACCAAGACGGGAGGGAUUCCGAGGAAGAGCUAUUAUUAGAGGCUGAGCUGGAAGCAGGCGCCUUUGGCGGAUCAGAGCUGUCAGCCUGCAUAAACAGCCUCCCGCGCUUGGGAGCCGGCUGGGCGGCCUCGGGCCUGGGCGCCGAGCAGGUGCUCUAACGCCGCUGGUUGCACUGCGAUGGGCUGACCUGGGAGAAAGGAGGACCAGCUUCCCGACUCUGCAUCUACUUUGCUGGGCAAGUCGCUUGUGCUCUCAGAGCCAAGUCAAGAUGUCAAGAUGAUGACAUAGUCCUUACCAACAGAGAGGGGCUGUUAUAUGCAGGGAAAAGAAGAUGCUGUGCUGUACGGAGGUCCGUGCAGGCCAAGAGGGGCCCGAGCACAGGCUGCCAACACCCUGGCUCAUGCUCCCCUGCUGUGGUCCAAGGUGGGUGUGAAGCUUGUGCAAGGACUGCAGGAGGAGUGCUAGAGGCACGCAGCGCUCCAGAUCCCCCUGUCUGACUCUCCUGAUAAUGAAGUAGCUGAGGCCCAGACAGGCGGUGCCAGACUGGACGUGGCACACGUCUCUUUCACCCACAUUCCAGAACCUACUCAUGUGCAAGGGAAGCUGGGAAGUGACGUCCAGCCAGACAGCCUUAUGCCCAGCUACCUUCCUGCGCUGACCCCAGUCUUCUCCUCACUUACUGUGUUCCAGUCCCCGAUCUCCCCGGCCAUUGAAGGCCCCCGCUCUUCCUACCCCAGGCCUUUGUAUAUGCUGUUCCCUCCUCCUGAAAUGCUUUGUCGCCCCGUGGCAUGGCUCAUUCUUCUUCCGUCACCCUUGCUGAUUGGCCUGUGGGCAGUAAGUGCUCUCCCUGUCACUCUG